GAUGAACGCUGGCGGCGUGCCUAAUACAUGCAAGUCGAGCGAACAGACGAGGAGCUUGCUCCUCUGACGUUAGCGGCGGACGGGUGAGUAACACUUGGAUAACCUACCUAUAAGACUGGGAUAACUUCGGGAAACCGGAGCUAAUACCGGAUAAUAUAUUGAACCGCAUGGUUCAAUAGUGAAAGACGGUUUUGCUGUCACUUAUAGAUGGAUCCGCGCCGCAUUAGCUAGUUGGUAAGGUAACGGCUUACCAAGGCAACGAUGCGUAGCCGACCUGAGAGGGUGAUCGGCCACACUGGAACUGAGACACGGUACAGACUCCUACGGGAGGCAGCAGUAGGGAAUCUUCCGCAAUGGGCGAAAGCCUGACGGAGCAACGCCGCGUGAGUGAUGAAGGUCUUCGGAUCGUAAAACUCUGUUAUUAGGGAAGAACAAAUGUGUAAGUAACUAUGCACGUCUUGACGGUACCUAAUCAGAAAGCCACGGCUAACUACGUG
RNAcentral lists this ribosomal RNA (497 nucleotides) under uncultured bacterium. RNAcentral's name for it is "partial 16S ribosomal RNA". It matches the Rfam family "Bacterial small subunit ribosomal RNA", at positions 28 to 507 of the family's 1533-position model. The record is from RNAcentral.